This 434-nucleotide ribosomal RNA is filed under the name uncultured Clostridium sp. RNAcentral's name for it is "partial 16S ribosomal RNA". It matches the Rfam family "Bacterial small subunit ribosomal RNA", at positions 341 to 792 of the family's 1533-position model. Lineage: Bacteria; Bacillati; Bacillota; Clostridia; Eubacteriales; Clostridiaceae. The record is from RNAcentral.
ACGGAAGGCAGCAGUGGGGAAUAUUGGGCAAUGGGGGCAACCCUGACCCAGCAACGCCGCGUGAAAGAAGAAGGCUUUCGGGUUGUAAACUUCUGUCCUUGGUGACGAUAAUGACGGUAGCCAAGGAGGAAGCCACGGCUAACUACGUGCCAGCAGCCGCGGUAAUACGUAGGUGGCAAGCGUUGUCCGGAAUUACUGGGUGUAAAGGGUGCGUAGGCGGCUCAUAAAGUCAGAUGUGAAAUACCGAGGCUCAACCUCGGAGCUGCAUUUGAAACUUAUGGGCUUGAGUGAAGUAGAGGUAAGCGGAAUUCCUAGUGUAGCGGUGAAAUGCGUAGAUAUUAGGAGGAACACCAGUGGCGAAGGCGGCUUACUGGGCUUUAACUGACGCUGAGGCACGAAAGCAUGGGUAGCAAACAGGAUUAGAUACCCUGGUA